Molecule: ribosomal RNA, 253 nt
Filed under: uncultured bacterium
Lineage: Bacteria
Description: partial 16S ribosomal RNA
Rfam family: Bacterial small subunit ribosomal RNA
Source: RNAcentral
UACGUAGGGGGCAAGCGUUGUCCGGAAUUACUGGGCGUAAAGGGCUCGUAGGUGGCCAACUAAGUCAAACGUGAAAUCCCUCGGCUUAACCGGGGAACUGCGUCUGAUACUGGAUGGCUUGAGUUUGGGAGAGGGAUGCGGAAUUCCAGGUGUAGCGGUGAAAUGCGUAGAUAUCUGGAGGAAUACCGGUGGCGAAGGCGGCAUCCUGGACCGGCAUUGACGCUGAGGAGCGAAAGCCAGGGGAGCAAACGGG